CCGCGCCCCUUUUUUGCAAGUAUGGCAGACUGAGAAAAGGAGGAAUAGACCCAUUAUACCAUGUGUGCUCCAGAUGAGGCCGGCAGAUCUCCGAAGAGGGGGAAGAGUGUGGAAAUGAAUGGAGGAAACGAGACAGAGCCUCCUGAUUGUCUUUCACUCUCAAAAAUAUAAACCCUUCCCACCCUCCAGAAGCCCCAAACAGGAAGCACUGGUUGGCAAAUGGACAGGCCCGUUUCCGUAGCGACAAGGGGAGCGUAAAAGCCCUGUCUGCUCUGGCUCACAUUGUGCCUCCUUAACCGGAUGAGACUGGAGGAGGGGAAGUGAUGGAGGGGAGAGCAGUGGGACGGACAGGGACUUUUUAUAAUCUGUCCCAGAGGGAAGCAGAGAGAGCA
Non-coding RNA from Plectropomus leopardus (leopard coralgrouper), 392 nucleotides. Lineage: Eukaryota; Metazoa; Chordata; Actinopteri; Perciformes; Serranidae. The record is from RefSeq and is a predicted model, not a curated record.